This is a long non-coding RNA of Sinocyclocheilus rhinocerous, 685 nucleotides long. RefSeq lists it as uncharacterized. Lineage: Eukaryota; Metazoa; Chordata; Actinopteri; Cypriniformes; Cyprinidae. The record is from RefSeq and is a predicted model, not a curated record. The transcript is spliced from 3 exons.
UCAUUACUAGAAAUAUAAUUUAUUGGCAUUUUAGUUCCAAGUAAAGUGCAAUACUGAUAGUAUGUACUUACCAGUGUUAAAUUGUGUAAGUGUAGUCUUGCACAAAUCUUUAAUAUGUCAAUUGCUUCUUCCAGGUUAAUCUAAGACUUGGAGCUUCUCAUAUUUUACCUGUGAGGAAAAAGACCCCACUAAAGUCACAUUUAGAGUCAUUUAGAGUUUCAGAAGAGAUCUCAACAAUGUCUCACAUUGUGCUCAAGUCUGUCUGUAAUCAAAUAUGAAUUCAUACAUUUCUUGUCAAACGUUUCUAAUAAAACCAAAUGAUCUGAGCUGAUGAUCAAGGCCAUCCAACUGUCAUCGGCAAUGUGAAAAGUGUGACCCUUUCCUGUAAAUGAGAGACAUUAUAAGUAUCUGGAUUGGUUUUACACUCCGGCCGAGGAUCUACGGUUCCUCACGUUCUAGAUCUCACUUGAAAGUUUCACGCUUCGUCAAAAAACACUGAGGAAUCCCUAAUAAACCCCAAAGAGAGAAAUUUGGUGCGAGCCUCUUGCCAACUUUCCAUCACCAUGACAAGCACCACCAGCGACCAAAAGGCCGUCUCCUGCCCCCUGAUGACCAAACCUCCCCGUCAGCGGCUGGUCAGCAAGGACGGCCGGAGCCUGAUGCGAGGCAGUGCCCCGGGCUCCAG